UACAGAGGGGGCAAGCGUUGUUCGGAAUUACUGGGCGUAAAGGGCGCGUAGGCGGCCUUCUAAGUCGAACGUGAAAUCCCCGGGCUCAACCUGGGAACUGCGUCUGAUACUGGAUGGCUUGAAUUCGGGAGAGGGAUGCAGAAUUCCAGGUGUAGCGGUGAAAUGCGUAGAUAUCUGGAGGAAUACCGGUGGCGGAGGCAGCCCCCUGGGAUAACACUGACGCUCAUGCACGAAAGCGUGGGGAGCAAACAGG
Molecule: ribosomal RNA, 253 nt
Filed under: uncultured bacterium
Lineage: Bacteria
Description: partial 16S ribosomal RNA
Rfam family: Bacterial small subunit ribosomal RNA
Source: RNAcentral